GAAGAAGCCAAUUCACCCCGGUGACAACAGCUACGGGUACCCAGAUCGAAGCCUCUAUCCCAGCCCGUCUUCCGCCCCUGACUUGCCCUCCCCUUCCUCCAGUCUCACCUCAACCCUCCCCACCCUUCCCGAAGGGGCUCCGUACCUGAUGCUCCUCGAGCUCCUGCACUAGCACCUGAGCAAAAGGGAAACACAGAUAUGAGGAGCAGCUCGGGCCAUCAACCCAUUCCUCCCUCCACACUUAAAGCCCAGCCGCUGACCGUUUGACUAGUCAAGGCCGGCCUUUCCCUCACCCUCAACGGAACUGCUCGUCCCGCUGCCUCGAUUUCCCCACUGGGACCAUUCACCACGACUCCCAGAUCUCUUUCUUCCCCUUACCUGAGCGGAUUUGUUGCAGGGUCCAGACUGCAAGAACCUAGCGAUCAGGGACUCUGCAGAGUUCCCCCUGGCAAGAAUGUUCUCACCAGAUGCAGCCUGUCAAUCUUGGACUUCCCAGCCUCCAGAAUCAUGAGGUAAAGAAACCUUUAUUUUUUAUAAAUUUCUUUUCUCAAAUAUUUAGUUAUAGCAACAUCAAGCAAAUGAAGACAAGCUAUUGUCAAAAAGACAAAAGAUAACAAGUGUUGGCAAGCAUGUAAGGAAAAAGAAACUCUUGCACACUGUUAGUGGAAAUAUAAAUUAGUACAACCAUUAUGGAAAAUUUUAUGGAGGUUCCUAAAAAUGUUAAAAAAAGAGCUACUAUAUGAUGUUACUACUGGUUAUAUAUCAAAACAAAAUGAAAUCAGUAUGUACAAAAGGUAUUUUCACUCCCAUGUUUAUUGCAGCAUUAUUUACAGUAGCCAAGAUAUGGAAUCAACCCAACUGUCCAUCAACAGAUAAAUGAAUAAGGAAAAUAUGGUAUAUACACAGUGGAAUACUAUUCAUUCAUUGAAAAGAAGGAAAUCCUGCCAUUUGCAUCAACAUGGAUGAACCUGGAGGAUAUUAAGUGAAACAAGCCAGGCACAGGAAGACAAAUACCACAUGCUUUCACUCAUAUAUGUGGAGCAUUGUACCCUGGAAUGCCAGUUCCUUGAUGAAGAGAUUGGAUUUUUUUGACUGAAUUCUAUAUACUUCUCCAAGUACCUGGUAUUUAGCGGCCUCUCAGCUAUUACUAAUACUUGUUUGGUCCUGGAGAUGUUUAAUAAUUACCUGUUGCUUUAUCUUGAGGAUAGCAGUCAAGUAGAAUGAAGACUGCUGAGGUGAAAAACAGACACACAAAAGCCUAAAUAGCCGAGAGUCCUCAGUUCACUGGAGGCUCCAGAUAUCUUCACAAUUGUAAAGACAGAAACAAAAAAUUUGAAAAAUACCAAAAGGAAAAAUAAGUGCAAACCAAAACAGGGAAUGACAAAGGAAGCCAUCUGAAGAUGCCUUCAUCAUCUGAACAUUUCUCAGUUGCUAUUUUACUUUUUGAAAGUAGACUGUUAUUUAAGAGUCAAUUGCAUUUAUCUGUGCCUCAUCUCCCCUAUUUAUUAUGCCUCCUCAAGGCAUUGGACAAUGUUAACCACAUUCCUUUUAACUCCCCAGAACAUUGAGUCUUAUGCAUCAAGUGAGAGCAAUUUAUAAGCCCUUCGUUAUGUUUUCCCGGAAACUAGAUGAAAGUGUUUUAAGUAAGGAGAAAUCACUUAAAAUGGUAAGCUUGUCUAUUUCUCUGCAUGGUUGAGGACGUCCAGCUGCUCUGGGCUGCAGUUUGUGUCCUGCCAUCCCUGCAAAACUUCUGCCUGAUAUCUGCCUUCACCACCACCCAACCCAAAGCAACUCUGAUUCUGGCAAGCUGACCUCUCUUUUUUCAGGGCAAUUUAUCUCUCCCUGUGCCCUGGGAGAGGCCAGACAACAGUCCUGAGAGACGCUGCCAGCAAGUUGUUUAUGCCAGGAGAGUGUUGCCCUACCCGUGGCCUCACUGCAGAGCCCUCUAUGGAGAGGGGAUGUAUCUGAUUCUGAUGUUCUUUUACAAAUCAAAUUUCUGCAUUUUAAUUUUUGUACCUCUUCUCAGACGCUGCAUUGUAUGAUAGAAUAUUUAUUUUAUUAUUAAAAAUGGUGAAUUAACUAGCACAUUGCUUUUUCUAUCUUAAUAACGACUAUCUUAAUUCUGUAAAAUUAUAAUGUAAGUCUUGAGUAAAGUAGUCAUUGCAGUAUUUUAUAAUCCUAGUCAUAUACCAGAGCUUUCUCAAGGGGAAAAGUAUUAUAGUUAUCUCUUCAAUAUUUGCUUAUGUGAAACAGUUAUUAACACCGUUUAUAGCUAACCCUGUCUGUAGUGACUGUUUUGAGAACCCUAAAUCUCUAAUUUAAAGGCCCAAGAUUUUAUCAGUUUGUAUGGAACCUGUGUUUGCUCCUCAGUCCUGGUUUCCUAAUAAACUUAUGAAGAUAUUUGUGAUGGAUUUCUGAAGAUUUCGAGUACAUGUGAGGGGAUUCAGUACAAAUUACAGGGAUUCAACACAUUGACAGCAGGAAAAAUGUAAUGAAUUGUUAGGUGGGGAAUGAUGUAAAGUGAAGUAAUCUGAAUAAAAGCCUAUAUUAUAUUUGUUAGCUGACUUAGUUUAUCUUUGUUGUCACUGAGGAAGCAUAAUUUUUUAUCUUCAGUAAUAGUGUAAGUUAUUGUACAAAGCCUAAAAAUUAGUAUUCUCUUUGUAAACAAAAGAGUAUCUGAGACAAGUCUCAAUCAUUUUAGAAGUUUAUUUUGCCAAAAUUAAGGACACGCCCGUGACAAAGCCUCAGGAGGUCCUGAAAAUAUGGGCACAAGGUGGUUGAGCUACAACUGGUUUUAUACAUUUUAGGGAGACAUAAAACAUCAAUACACAUAACCUGUGCAUUGGUUCUUUCUGAAAAGGCAGGACAACUAAAAGUGGGGGCUUCCAGGUCAUAGACAGAUUCAAAGAUUUUCUGAUUGGCAAUUGGUUGAAAGAGUUAUUACCUAAAGACCUGGAAUAAAUAGAAAGGAAUCUGGGUUAUAAUAAG
Molecule: long non-coding RNA, 2988 nt
Filed under: Homo sapiens (human)
Lineage: Eukaryota; Metazoa; Chordata; Mammalia; Primates; Hominidae
Description: HSALNT0408146
Source: RNAcentral